This 319-nucleotide ribosomal RNA is filed under the name uncultured eukaryote. RNAcentral's name for it is "partial 18S ribosomal RNA". It matches the Rfam family "Eukaryotic small subunit ribosomal RNA", at positions 1470 to 1796 of the family's 1831-position model. The record is from RNAcentral.
CCCUUAGAUGUUCUGGGCUGCACGCGCGCUACACUGACACACUCAGCGAGUUCCUGUACCGAGAGGUUCGGGUAAUCAUGUGAGCGUGUGUCGUGAUGGGGAUAGAAUAUUGUAAUUAUUGCUUUUCAACGAGGAAUUCCUAGUAAGCGCAAGUCAGCAGCUUGCGCUGAUUACGUCCCUGCCCUUUGUACACACCGCCCGUCGCUCCUACCGAUUGGGUGAUCCGGUGAAUGACUCGGACUUUGACGUUCCUAGACACUAGGUUCGUCGAGGGAAGUUUUGUGAACCUUAUCACUUGGAGGAAGGAGAAGUCGUAACA